This 229-nucleotide ribosomal RNA is filed under the name uncultured bacterium. Its description in RNAcentral is "partial 16S ribosomal RNA". It matches the Rfam family "Bacterial small subunit ribosomal RNA", at positions 568 to 796 of the family's 1533-position model. The record is from RNAcentral.
AGCGUAGGCGGUUCGUUAAGUGGGAUGUGAAAGCCCCGGGCUCAACCUGGGAACUGCAUUCCAAACUGACGAACUAGAGUAUGGUAGAGGGAGGUAGAAUUUCCUGUGUAGCGGUGAAAUGCGUAGAUAUAGGAAGGAAUACCGGUGGCGAAGGCGGCCUCCUGGACCAAUACUGACGCUGAGGUUCGAAAGCGUGGGGAGCAAACAGGAUUAGAUACCCUGGUAGUCC